UACGUAGGGCGCGAGCGUUGUCCGGAAUUAUUGGGCGUAAAGAGCUCGUAGGCGGCCUGUCGCGUCUGCUGUGAAAUCCCGGGGCUUAACCCCGGGCGUGCAGUGGAUACGGGCAGGCUGGAGGCAGGCAGGGGAGAACGGAAUUCCCGGUGUAGCGGUGAAAUGCGCAGAUAUCGGGAGGAACACCGGUGGCGAAGGCGGUUCUCUGGGCCUGUACUGACGCUGAGGAGCGAAAGCGUGGGGAGCGAACAGG
Molecule: ribosomal RNA, 253 nt
Filed under: uncultured bacterium
Lineage: Bacteria
Description: partial 16S ribosomal RNA
Rfam family: Bacterial small subunit ribosomal RNA
Source: RNAcentral